GGGUUGUGAGGUUAAGCGACUAAGCGUACACGGUGGAUGCCCUGGCAGUCAGAGGCGAUGAAGGACGUGCUAAUCUGCGAUAAGCGUCGGUAAGGUGAUAUGAACCGUUAUAACCGGCGAUUUCCGAAUGGGGAAACCCAGUGUGAUUCGUCACACUAUCAUUAACUGAAUCCAUAGGUUAAUGAGGCGAACCGGGGGAACUGAAACAUCUAAGUACCCCGAGGAAAAGAAAUCAACCGAGAUUCCCCCAGUAGCGGCGAGCGAACGGGGAGGAGCCCAGAGCCUGAAUCAGUGUGUGUGUUAGUGGAAGCGUCUGGAAAGGCGCGCGAUACAGGGUGACAGCCCCGUACACAAAAAUGCACAUACUGUGAGCUCGAUGAGUAGGGCGGGACACGUGGUAUCCUGUCUGAAUAUGGGGGGACCAUCCUCCAAGGCUAAAUACUCCUGACUGACCGAUAGUGAACCAGUACCGUGAGGGAAAGGCGAAAAGAACCCCGGCGAGGGGAGUGAAAAAGAACCUGAAACCGUGUACGUACAAGCAGUGGGAGCACGCUUCGGCGUGUGACUGCGUACCUUUUGUAUAAUGGGUCAGCGACUUAUAUUCUGUAGCAAGGUUAACCGAAUAGGGGAGCCGAAGGGAAACCGAGUCUUAACUGGGCGUUAAGUUGCAGGGUAUAGACCCGAAACCCGGUGAUCUAGCCAUGGGCAGGUUGAAGGUUGGGUAACACUAACUGGAGGACCGAACCGACUAAUGUUGAAAAAUUAGCGGAUGACUUGUGGCUGGGGGUGAAAGGCCAAUCAAACCGGGAGAUAGCUGGUUCUCCCCGAAAGCUAUUUAGGUAGCGCCUCGUGAACUCAUCUCCGGGGGUAGAGCACUGUUUCGGCAAGGGGGUCAUCCCGACUUACCAACCCGAUGCAAACUGCGAAUACCGGAGAAUGUUAUCACGGGAGACACACGGCGGGUGCUAACGUCCGUCGUGAAGAGGGAAACAACCCAGACCGCCAGCUAAGGUCCCAAAGUCAUGGUUAAGUGGGAAACGAUGUGGGAAGGCCCAGACAGCCAGGAUGUUGGCUUAGAAGCAGCCAUCAUUUAAAGAAAGCGUAAUAGCUCACUGGUCGAGUCGGCCUGCGCGGAAGAUGUAACGGGGCUAAACCAUGCACCGAAGCUGCGGCAGCGACGCUUAUGCGUUGUUGGGUAGGGGAGCGUUCUGUAAGCCUGUGAAGGUAUACUGUGAGGUAUGCUGGAGGUAUCAGAAGUGCGAAUGCUGACAUAAGUAACGAUAAAGCGGGUGAAAAGCCCGCUCGCCGGAAGACCAAGGGUUCCUGUCCAACGUUAAUCGGGGCAGGGUGAGUCGACCCCUAAGGCGAGGCCGAAAGGCGUAGUCGAUGGGAAACAGGUUAAUAUUCCUGUACUUGGUGUUACUGCGAAGGGGGGACGGAGAAGGCUAUGUUGGCCGGGCGACGGUUGUCCCGGUUUAAGCGUGUAGGCUGGUUUUCCAGGCAAAUCCGGAAAAUCAAGGCUGAGGCGUGAUGACGAGGCACUACGGUGCUGAAGCAACAAAUGCCCUGCUUCCAGGAAAAGCCUCUAAGCAUCAGGUAACAUCAAAUCGUACCCCAAACCGACACAGGUGGUCAGGUAGAGAAUACCAAGGCGCUUGAGAGAACUCGGGUGAAGGAACUAGGCAAAAUGGUGCCGUAACUUCGGGAGAAGGCACGCUGAUAUGUAGGUGAAGUCCCUCGCGGAUGGAGCUGAAAUCAGUCGAAGAUACCAGCUGGCUGCAACUGUUUAUUAAAAACACAGCACUGUGCAAACACGAAAGUGGACGUAUACGGUGUGACGCCUGCCCGGUGCCGGAAGGUUAAUUGAUGGGGUCAGCGCAAGCGAAGCUCUUGAUCGAAGCCCCGGUAAACGGCGGCCGUAACUAUAACGGUCCUAAGGUAGCGAAAUUCCUUGUCGGGUAAGUUCCGACCUGCACGAAUGGCGUAAUGAUGGCCAGGCUGUCUCCACCCGAGACUCAGUGAAAUUGAACUCGCUGUGAAGAUGCAGUGUACCCGCGGCAAGACGGAAAGACCCCGUGAACCUUUACUAUAGCUUGACACUGAACAUUGAGCCUUGAUGUGUAGGAUAGGUGGGAGGCUUAGAAGUGUGGACGCCAGUCUGCAUGGAGCCGACCUUGAAAUACCACCCUUUAAUGUUUGAUGUUCUAACGUGGACCCGUGAUCCGGGUUGCGGACAGUGUCUGGUGGGUAGUUUGACUGGGGCGGUCUCCUCCUAAAGAGUAACGGAGGAGCACGAAGGUUGGCUAAUCCUGGUCGGACAUCAGGAGGUUAGUGCAAUGGCAUAAGCCAGCUUGACUGCGAGCGUGACGGCGCGAGCAGGUGCGAAAGCAGGUCAUAGUGAUCCGGUGGUUCUGAAUGGAAGGGCCAUCGCUCAACGGAUAAAAGGUACUCCGGGGAUAACAGGCUGAUACCGCCCAAGAGUUCAUAUCGACGGCGGUGUUUGGCACCUCGAUGUCGGCUCAUCACAUCCUGGGGCUGAAGUAGGUCCCAAGGGUAUGGCUGUUCGCCAUUUAAAGUGGUACGCGAGCUGGGUUUAGAACGUCGUGAGACAGUUCGGUCCCUAUCUGCCGUGGGCGCUGGAGAACUGAGGGGGGCUGCUCCUAGUACGAGAGGACCGGAGUGGACGCAUCACUGGUGUUCGGGUUGUCAUGCCAAUGGCACUGCCCGGUAGCUAAAUGCGGAAGAGAUAAGUGCUGAAAGCAUCUAAGCACGAAACUUGCCCCGAGAUGAGUUCUCCCUGACCCUUUAAGGGUCCUGAAGGAACGUUGAAGACGACGACGUUGAUAGGCCGGGUGUGUAAGCGCAGCGAUGCGUUGAGCUAACCGGUACUAAUGAACCGUGAGGCUUAACCUUACAACGCCGAAGGUGUUU
Molecule: ribosomal RNA, 2931 nt
Filed under: Escherichia coli
Lineage: Bacteria; Pseudomonadati; Pseudomonadota; Gammaproteobacteria; Enterobacterales; Enterobacteriaceae
Description: 23S ribosomal RNA
Rfam family: Bacterial large subunit ribosomal RNA
Source: RNAcentral